Non-coding RNA from Callorhinus ursinus (northern fur seal), 1284 nucleotides. The record is from RefSeq and is a predicted model, not a curated record. NCBI's taxonomy places the organism in Eukaryota, Metazoa, Chordata, Mammalia, Carnivora, Otariidae.
AUCAAAAUUUGGGGGUAGAGGGCAGAUCCUGGCCCCAGUGAUCAGGGAAUGGCUAAUAUGUUGUUUAUAUGCCAGGCGGUUCUUUGAGUUCUUUGCAUGGAUUUACUCAUUUGACCCUCAGAACAAUCCUAUAAAAUAGGCAGUAUUAUUUUCCCCUCUUGAUAGAGGAGGAAGCCGAGGCCCACUAAGGUGCCUUGCCCAAGGGUAUGUGGAUGGGGCCCAGGGAGCCAUCUCCCUGAGUCCUUGCUCUCAGCCACCACACACAACAACAGCCUUUGUCCUACAGCUGGAUUGCUCCCUUCCAUGGCCGCACCGGGAAGACAGGCUAGCAGGUGGUGGGGUUGCUAGGACACUCCUGGCUCUCUUUUCUGAGCCUGCAGAGCCACGUGUUUGCUGACCUGGGUGAACACCGUCUGCAGGACCAGGUCUCGUGUCUGGAAGCCCGCUCCCCUUCUAACCUUGAGAGAAGUGGCCAAAGUGGCCUGUCCCCCUCCUUUCCCCUGCUUCAGCGGAGGUGUCGGGACCCCUGAUGUCCACACCUCUAGCCCUGCAGUCCAGAAGGACUGGCUCUCUGCUCUCCCUGCAGCCGCGGCCCCAUCAGGCCUGGUCCCGAGCAGCCCCUGGUGAGCUGGGAGUGAGCAUUCUGCAGAGCAGUGACCUCCGUUACCGGAGAGAACUCUGUUCCCCUGCAGGGAGCCCUUGCUCAGCCCUGGCCCCAGAUGCCAGCCAUGCACCUGACAAGGGUCCCCCCUCCCACUGCCCCUGCUUUUAGGUUAGUCAGUGAAAUAGUUUGUAAAGCGGAGCACAAAGGAGCCCGGGAUUUGUUGGGGCCGGCGUGUGACGUCCUUGCACCAUUGUCUCCAUUCUGAGACGGGGAAGUCCUCGUAGCCAGAGGGGAAGCCACUGUGUGACCCACCUGGCCAGAUGCCACCUCUGACCUGGGAGGCCUUUUUACAAUUUCCUCCUGAAGAAAACAACCACCCGCAACCUCACCUCUUGUCUCUGUUUCCAAACUUGGACUCAGGAAUUGGCUCAGCCAGCCGGAAAUGUGCUUUCAUUCAUUCCUUCGUUCGUUCAUUCCUUCAUUUUUCCAGUAUUCAUUGAGCCCUACUCUGGGCCAGACUGGGGAUGCCGCCGUGGGUGGAGCAGCUCGCUUUAAGGGAGGAAGGAGACAGGCGCUGGGAGGAGGGACACACUGUAAGGCCAUGUGUGGACGGUGCUUGAUCUGUUUUGUGCUGCACUGUGUCCGAGGCCCGGCACCUUGGGGUCAAAUCCCAUCUGCCG